AAAAGUCCAAUGGAUCAUCAUAAGUCAAACAUGCUCAAAUAAGGUUUUACAAAAAAUUUCAUCAUUUUUUUGAAAACAGAAACUAAUUUUAAACAAUUAAAAAUGAAGAAAAAUAACAUAAUUGGAAUAAAAUCUCAAAUAAAUCUCAAAUUAAUUAAGAAAAUGAUGAGAAUAUUUUCAUAGAUCCAUCAUCAUCCAAAGGUGUUAAGAAAAUAUUUUUGGCAUUUUUUGAAUAUUGAAAAGUAUUUUAAAUGAAUUAAAAACAAC
This 267-nucleotide long non-coding RNA is filed under the name Lathyrus oleraceus (garden pea). RNAcentral describes it as "Pisum sativum (pea) long non-coding RNA (PSAT_LNC004472)". Lineage: Eukaryota; Viridiplantae; Streptophyta; Magnoliopsida; Fabales; Fabaceae. The record is from RNAcentral.